Molecule: ribosomal RNA, 447 nt
Filed under: Sphingomonas dokdonensis
Lineage: Bacteria; Pseudomonadati; Pseudomonadota; Alphaproteobacteria; Sphingomonadales; Sphingomonadaceae
Description: bacterial SSU rRNA
Rfam family: Bacterial small subunit ribosomal RNA
Source: RNAcentral
UGGCGGCAUGCCUAACACAUGCAAGUCGAACGAGAUCCUUCGGGGUCUAGUGGCGCACGGGUGCGUAACGCGUGGGAAUCUGCCCUUAGGUUCGGAAUAACAGUUAGAAAUGACUGCUAAUACCGGAUGAUGACGUUAAGUCCAAAGAUUUAUCGCCUGAGGAUGAGCCCGCGUAGGAUUAGCUAGUUGGUGUGGUAAAGGCGCACCAAGGCGACGAUCCUUAGCUGGUCUGAGAGGAUGAUCAGCCACACUGGGACUGAGACACGGCCCAGACUCCUACGGGAGGCAGCAGUGGGGAAUAUUGGACAAUGGGCGCAAGCCUGAUCCAGCAAUGCCGCGUGAGUGAUGAAGGCCUUAGGGUUGUAAAGCUCUUUUACCCGGGGAUGAUAAUGACAGUACCGGGAGAAUAAGCCCCGGCUAACUCCGUGCCAGCAGCCGCGGUAAUAC